RNAcentral lists this ribosomal RNA (108 nucleotides) under Rhizoctonia solani. Its description in RNAcentral is "partial 28S ribosomal RNA". It matches the Rfam family "Eukaryotic large subunit ribosomal RNA", at positions 28 to 135 of the family's 3401-position model. Lineage: Eukaryota; Fungi; Basidiomycota; Agaricomycetes; Cantharellales; Ceratobasidiaceae. The record is from RNAcentral.
CUGAACUUAAGCAUAUCAAUAAGCGGAGGAAAAGAAACUAACAAGGAUUCCCCUAGUAACGGCGAGUGAAGCGGGAAGAGCUCAAAUUUAAAAUCUGGCAGUGUAUUC